GUGAGGAAUAUUGGUCAAUGGGCGAGAGCCUGAACCAGCCAAGUAGCGUGCAGGAUGACGGCCCUAUGGGUUGUAAACUGCUUUUAUGCGGGGAUAAAGUUCGCCACGUGUGGCGUUUUGUAGGUACCGCAUGAAUAAGGACCGGCUAAUUCCGUGCCAGCAGCCGCGGUAAUACGGAAGGUCCGGGCGUUAUCCGGAUUUAUUGGGUUUAAAGGGAGCGCAGGCUGGAGAUUAAGCGUGACGUGAAAUGUAGCCGCUCAACGGCUGAGUUGCGUCGCGAACUGGUUUUCUUGAGUGAGUACGACGUCAGCGGAAUUCGUGGUGUAGCGGUGAAAUGCUUAGAUAUCACGAAGAACCCCGAUUGCGAAGGCAGCUGACGAGUCCUUUACUGACGCUAAAGCUCGAAGGUGCGGGUAUCGAACAGG
This 425-nucleotide ribosomal RNA is filed under the name uncultured rumen bacterium. Its description in RNAcentral is "bacterial SSU rRNA". It matches the Rfam family "Bacterial small subunit ribosomal RNA", at positions 354 to 776 of the family's 1533-position model. The record is from RNAcentral.